UACGUAGGCAGCAAGCGUUGUUCGGAAUUACUGGGCGUAAAGAGUGUGUAGGCGGUGCUCUAAGUUCGGUGUGAAAUCUCCCGGCUUAACUGGGAGGGUGCGCCGGAAACUGGAGUGCUCGAGCGUGGGAGAGGAAAGCGGAAUUCCUGGUGUAGCGGUGAAAUGCGUAGAUAUCAGGAGGAACACCAAUGGCGAAGGCAGCACUCUGGGACGUGACUGACGCUGAGACGCGAAAGCGUGGGGAGCAAACAGG
RNAcentral lists this ribosomal RNA (253 nucleotides) under uncultured bacterium. RNAcentral describes it as "partial 16S ribosomal RNA". It matches the Rfam family "Bacterial small subunit ribosomal RNA", at positions 524 to 776 of the family's 1533-position model. The record is from RNAcentral.